CUCCUACGGGGGGCAGCAGUGGGGAAUAUUGCACAAUGGGCGAAAGCCUGAUGCAGCAACGCCGCGUGAGCGAUGAAGGCCUUCGGGUCGUAAAGCUCUGUCCUCAAGGAAGAUAAUGACGGUACUUGAGGAGGAAGCCCCGGCUAACUACGUGCCAGCAGCCGCGGUAAUACGUAGGGGGCUAGCGUUAUCCGGAAUUACUGGGUGUAAAGGGAGCGUAGACGGUGAUGCAAGUCUGGAGUGAAAGGCGGGGGCCCAACCCCCGGACUGCUCUGGAAACUGUAUGACUUGAGUGCGGGAGAGGG
This 305-nucleotide ribosomal RNA is filed under the name uncultured bacterium. Its description in RNAcentral is "bacterial SSU rRNA". It matches the Rfam family "Bacterial small subunit ribosomal RNA", at positions 336 to 658 of the family's 1533-position model. The record is from RNAcentral.